This 84-nucleotide microRNA precursor is filed under the name Musa acuminata subsp. malaccensis (wild Malaysian banana). Its description in RNAcentral is "MIR2275 microRNA precursor family". It matches the Rfam family "MIR2275 microRNA precursor family". The record is from Rfam by way of RNAcentral. Lineage: Eukaryota; Viridiplantae; Streptophyta; Magnoliopsida; Zingiberales; Musaceae.
GAUUUGAAUGUGAGAAUUGGAGGAAAUCAAAGCAAUUGCAAUCAAACAUUGCCUUGGUUUCCUCCAAUAUCUCACCUUCAGUGC